GUGGUGGUAGCUCAGCUGGAUAGAGCAUCGGUUUUCUAAACCGAUGGUCGCGAGUUCGAGUCUCGCCCACCACGCCA
Molecule: transfer RNA, 77 nt
Filed under: Opitutaceae bacterium
Lineage: Bacteria; Pseudomonadati; Verrucomicrobiota; Opitutia; Opitutales; Opitutaceae
Description: tRNA-Arg
Rfam family: tRNA
About the family: Transfer RNA (tRNA) molecules are approximately 80 nucleotides in length.
Source: RNAcentral